GAACUGGAGAGUUUGAUCCUGGCUCAGAGCGAACGUUAGCGGCGGGCCUAACACAUGCAAGUCGAACGAGAAAGCCCUUCGGGGUGAGUACAGUGGCGCACGGGUGAGUAACGCGUAGGUAAUCUACCCUCAGGCGGGGGAUAACGUUCCGAAAGGGACGCUAAUACCGCAUAAGACCACAGUCUCUGCGGAGACAGUGGGAAAAGAUGGCCUCUCCUUGGAAGCUAUCACCAGAGGAUGAGCCUGCGUCCCAUCAGCUUGUUGGUAAGGUAACGGCUUACCAAGGCGAAGACGGGUAGCUGGUCUGAGAGGAUGAUCAGCCACACUGGCACUGGAACACGGGCCAGACUCCUACGGGAGGCAGCAGUGAGGAAUAUUGGGCAAUGGGCGCAAGCCUGACCCAGCCACGCCGCGUGAGUGAUGAAGGCCUUCGGGUUGUAAAGCUCUGUGGGGAAGGAAGAAAAAGCGUUGGAAUAAUACCCAACGCCUUGACGGUACUUCCUUAGCAAGCACCGGCUAACUCUGUGCCAGCAGCCGCGGUAAGACAGAGGGUGCAAACGUUGCUCGGAAUUACUGGGCGUAAAGCGCGUGUAGGCGGAUACGCAAGUCGGGUGUGAAAGCCCCGGGCUCAACCUGGGAACUGCAUUCGAAACUGCGUAUCUCGAGUACUGGAGAGGGAAGCGGAAUUCCCGGUGUAGAGGUGAAAUUCGUAGAUAUCGGGAGGAACACCAGUGGCGAAGGCGGCUUCCUGGACAGUCACUGACGCUGAGACGCGAAAGCGUGGGGAGCAAACAGGAUUAGAUACCCUGGUAGUCCACGCCGUAAACGAUG
RNAcentral lists this ribosomal RNA (831 nucleotides) under Polyangiaceae bacterium LLY-WYZ-15_(1-7). RNAcentral's name for it is "bacterial SSU rRNA". It matches the Rfam family "Bacterial small subunit ribosomal RNA", at positions 1 to 811 of the family's 1533-position model. Lineage: Bacteria; Pseudomonadati; Myxococcota; Polyangiales; Polyangiaceae. The record is from RNAcentral.